GCACGGGGGGAACGCGAAGAACCUUACCAGGUCUUGACAUCCUCUGAAAACCCUAGAGAUAGGGCUUCUCCUUCGGGAGCAGAGUGACAGGUGGUGCAUGGUUGUCGUCAGCUCGUGUCGUGAGAUGUUGGGUUAAGUCCCGCAACGAGCGCAACCCUUGAUCUUAGUUGCCAUCAUUAAGUUGGGCACUCUAAGGUGACUGCCGGUGACAAACCGGAGGAAGGUGGGGAUGACGUCAAAUCAUCAUGCCCCUUAUGACCUGGGCUACACACGUGCUACAAUGGACGGUACAAAGAGCUGCAAGACCGCGAGGUGGAGCUAAUCUCAUAAAACCGUUCUCAGUUCGGAUUGUAGGCUGCAACUCGCUCUACAUGAAGCUGGAAUCGCUAGUAAUCGCGGAUCAGCAUGCCGCGGUG
RNAcentral lists this ribosomal RNA (416 nucleotides) under uncultured Bacillus sp. RNAcentral's name for it is "bacterial SSU rRNA". It matches the Rfam family "Bacterial small subunit ribosomal RNA", at positions 949 to 1364 of the family's 1533-position model. Lineage: Bacteria; Bacillati; Bacillota; Bacilli; Caryophanales; Bacillaceae. The record is from RNAcentral.